Molecule: ribosomal RNA, 1537 nt
Filed under: Listeria monocytogenes
Lineage: Bacteria; Bacillati; Bacillota; Bacilli; Caryophanales; Listeriaceae
Description: partial 23S ribosomal RNA
Rfam family: Bacterial large subunit ribosomal RNA
Source: RNAcentral
GCGAGUCUGAAUAGGGCGCAUAAGUAACAGGUCGUAGACCCGAAACCAGGUGAUCUACCCAUGUCCAGGAUGAAGGUAAGGUAAUACUUACUGGAGGUCCGAACCCACGCACGUUGAAAAGUGCGGGGAUGAGGUGUGGGUAGCGGAGAAAUUCCAAUCGAACUUGGAGAUAGCUGGUUCUCUCCGAAAUAGCUUUAGGGCUAGCCUCGAGGUAAAGAGUCAUGGAGGUAGAGCACUGUUUGGACUAGGGGCCCUUCUCGGGUUACCGAAUUCAGAUAAACUCCGAAUGCCAUGUACUUAUACUCGGGAGUCAGACUGCGAGUGAUAAGAUCCGUAGUCGAAAGGGAAACAGCCCAGACCACCAGUUAAGGUCCCCAAAUAUAUGUUAAGUGGAAAAGGAUGUGGGGUUGCUUAGACAACCAGGAUGUUGGCUUAGAAGCAGCCACCAUUGAAAGAGUGCGUAAUAGCUCACUGGUCGAGUGACCCCGCGCCGAAAAUGUACCGGGGCUAAACAUAUUACCGAAACUGUGGAUGAACCUCUUUAGAGGUUCGUGGUAGGAGAGCGUUCUAAGGGCGGUGAAGUCAGACCGGAAGGACUGGUGGAGCGCUUAGAAGUGAGAAUGCCGGUAUGAGUAGCGAAAGAAGGGUGAGAAUCCCUUCCACCGAAUAUCUAAGGUUUCCUGAGGAAGGCUCGUCCGCUCAGGGUUAGUCGGGACCUAAGCCGAGGCCGAUAGGCGUAGGCGAUGGACAACAGGUAGAGAUUCCUGUACCAGUGCUAAUUGUUUAACCGAUGGGGUGACACAGAAGGAUAGGGAAUCGCACGAAUGGAAAUGUGCGUCCAAGCAGUGAGUGUGAGAAGUAGGCAAAUCCGCUUCUCGCGAAGCAUGAGCUGUGAUGGGGAAGGAAAUUAAGUACGGAAGUUCCUGAUUUCACGCUGUCAAGAAAAGCCUCUAGGAAGAGUAGUACUGCCCGUACCGCAAACCGACACAGGUAGAUGAGGAGAGAAUCCUAAGGUGAGCGAGAGAACUCUCGUUAAGGAACUCGGCAAAAUGACCCCGUAACUUCGGGAGAAGGGGUGCUCUAUUAGGGUGCAAGCCCGAGAGAGCCGCAGUGAAUAGGCCCAGGCGACUGUUUAGCAAAAACACAGGUCUCUGCAAAACCGUAAGGUGACGUAUAGGGGCUGACGCCUGCCCGGUGCUGGAAGGUUAAGAGGAGUGCUUAGCUUCGGCGAAGGUACGAAUUGAAGCCCCAGUAAACGGCGGCCGUAACUAUAACGGUCCUAAGGUAGCGAAAUUCCUUGUCGGGUAAGUUCCGACCCGCACGAAAGGCGCAACGAUCUGGGCACUGUCUCAACGAGAGACUCGGUGAAAUUAUAGUACCUGUGAAGAUGCAGGUUACCCGCGACAGGACGGAAAGACCCCGUGGAGCUUUACUGCAACCUGAUAUGGAAUGUUUGUACCGCUUGUACAGGAUAGGUAGGAGCCGAAGAGACGUGUGCGCUAGCAUACGAGGAGGCAAUGGUGGGAUACUACCCUGG